AUUUCCUGUCAGCUGUCAGUCGUGAGCUGUUAGUUGUACGAGCAGAAAGAAAAAAAAAUGUUUCUGUAAUGGGGAUGUAUGCGUAAAGACAGAAAUUCUGUUGCUCGGGCUCCUCUCAAUAAGGGAGAUGAGCAAGAUAUGUUGGGAGAGGAGAUGGAGGAGAAGAAAGGCGGAAACCUAUUGGUUAUUUGGCAAGAUAGACUUCAGGGAGAAUUUCGAUGCAUAUGGUUUAAGGAAAUUAUUCGGAGAAUGAACGAGUUGCCGUAUUGCACC
Molecule: long non-coding RNA, 273 nt
Organism: Harpegnathos saltator (Jerdon's jumping ant)
Lineage: Eukaryota; Metazoa; Arthropoda; Insecta; Hymenoptera; Formicidae
Exons: 3
Source: RefSeq, a predicted model, not a curated record